This 761-nucleotide ribosomal RNA is filed under the name uncultured bacterium. RNAcentral's name for it is "bacterial SSU rRNA". It matches the Rfam family "Bacterial small subunit ribosomal RNA", at positions 771 to 1532 of the family's 1533-position model. The record is from RNAcentral.
AACAGGAUUAGAUACGAUGGUAGUCCACUCCGUAAACGAUGUAUACUAGCCGUUGGGGUCCUUGAGACUUUAGUGGCGCAGUUAACGCGAUAAGUAGACCGCCUGGGGGAGUACGGCCGCAAGGUUAAAACUCAAAUGAAUUGACGGGGGCCCGCACAAGCGGUGGAGCAUGUGGUUUAAUUCGAUGCAACGCGAAGAACCUUACCUGGUCUUGACAUAGUGAGAAUCCUGCAGAGAUGCGGGAGUGCCUUCGGGAAUUCACAUACAGGUGCUGCAUGGCUGUCGUCAGCUUGUGUCGUGAGAUGUUGGGUUAAGUCCCGCAACGAGCGCAACCCUUUUCGUUAUUUGCCAGCGGGUUAAGCCGGGAACUUUAAGGAUACUGCCAGUGACAAACCGGAGGAAGGCGGGGAUGACGUCAAGUCAUCAUGGCCUUUACGACCAGGGCUACACACCUGGUACAAUGGUAGGUACAGAGGGUUGGUACACAGCGAAGUGAUGGUAAUUUCAAAAAGCCUAUAGUAGUCCCGAUUGGAGUAUGCAACUCGUCUCCAUGAAGUCGGAAUCGGUAGUAAUAGCAGAUCAGAAUGUUGCGCAGAAUACGUUCCCGGGCAUGGUACACACCACCCGUCACACCAUGGGAGUAGAAUGCACCAGAAGUAGGUAGCCUAACGCAAGAGGGCGCUUACCACGGUGUGAUUCAUGACUGGGGGGAAGUAGUAACAAGGUACCGGUAGGGGAACCUGCGGCUGGAUCACCUCCUU